AUUGAACGCUGGCGGCAUGCCUUACACAUGCAAGUCGAACGGUAACGCGGGGGCAACCCUGGCGACGAGUGGCGAACGGGUGAGUAAUACAUCGGAACGUACCCAGUAGUGGGGGAUAGCUCGGCGAAAGCCGGAUUAAUACCGCAUACGACCUAUGGGUGAAAGCGGGGGAUCGCAAGACCUCGCGCUAUUGGAGCGGCCGAUGUCGGAUUAGCUAGUUGGUGAGGUAAAGGCNCACCAAGGCUACGAUCCGUAGCUGGUCUGAGAGGACGACCAGCCACACUGGGACUGAGACACGGCCCAGACUCCCACGGGAGGCAGCAGUGGGGAAUUUUGGACAAUGGGCGCAAGCCUGAUCCAGCCAUGCCGCGUGUGUGAAGAAGGCCU
This 387-nucleotide ribosomal RNA is filed under the name uncultured bacterium. Its description in RNAcentral is "bacterial SSU rRNA". It matches the Rfam family "Bacterial small subunit ribosomal RNA", at positions 29 to 417 of the family's 1533-position model. The record is from RNAcentral.